This is a small nuclear RNA of Loxodonta africana (African savanna elephant), 162 nucleotides long. It matches the Rfam family "U1 spliceosomal RNA". Rfam says of the family: U1 is a small nuclear RNA (snRNA) component of the spliceosome (involved in pre-mRNA splicing). NCBI's taxonomy places the organism in Eukaryota, Metazoa, Chordata, Mammalia, Proboscidea, Elephantidae. The record is from Rfam.
AUGCGUACUUGUCAGAGGAGACGCCAUGAUCACGAAGGAAGUUUUCCCAGGCGGUGCUCAUCCAUUGCACUCAGGACGUGCUGACCCUUGCGAUUUCCCCACUUGUGGGAAACUUGACUGCAUAAUUUGUGGUAGUGGGUACUGUGUUCUCGCUUUCCCUGA